AAUGCAAUAAAAUAUUAAACAUAGUUUCAUAGAUUAGAAAUCUAGAGAAACCUCUUUAUUCCGGUAUGAGCUCUGCAUAGAAAGCUUUUACCUACCUUAGUUACUUUUAUCUGAGGGAUUUCUAUAUAACAAGUGAGAGAAAAAUAAGACAGUAACAUAGUAAUAUACCUAUACAACUCGGCGAGAAAUAGCACUGAGGAAAUAUAGUACCACGAAUAGCAACAACAUUAUCGAAAACUGUCUCCACGAUUAUGGCAACAAAUUUGUCUCUAAUACCAUCGAACAAGCUGAUCUGAAUCUGCAGUUUCGUAUACCAACUUUUAGAUCACCUAGUGAAUGCAGAAAGUAGGUUAUUAUACACGGCGCAUAACCGUUAGUUAUAGUCUCUGUAAUUAGUGUAAGAUGAAAAUUUUAACGAUCGCCACACUGAUUUUGCUUAUAGUCCCAGUCAUCCAUAAUAAUACUGGAGUAUGAAAAGCAUUAAAUUAGAUAUUAUGAAUACGUUUUCGAAGAUCUCAGCUGCUUGUACGAAGUGGAGGUCGCUGUAAUAAAUCAGACUUUCGCAUUCAGAGAUUCAGAAAAGUAAGGGCUAAGAAUUGCGAAACAAUGGCCCUUUGGGUUAAGGAGAUCACCUCAAACAAAUUAAAUGACGAAAUAGACUAAAUCAGUAGGCCCCAGGGCAUUAACUAUUAGCUGGAAAUCUUUCUGUAAAGGUUAGGAUAAUAUCAAACAGAAAAUUUAGAGUUUUAGGUUUACGCAAACAUUCUUGCCAUCAUAGAAACUAGAUUUUCGAGUAAUUACAUCUUAGAACUUGUAAAAAAACAAGCAUAAUUAAACCAAAUACUUUCUGUUUUAUUUAUCACUGCUACUUAUUUUUAAUCAGUAACUCGAUAUAAAAGAAGAUGAAAAAGCGAAACUACCUGUACGCAUACACGGUCUCAUUGCCACAGUCGUAAUAGUGGUUCUCACGUAAUUUCAUGUAUUUAUUGAAGUGAUGUCACUUUGUGAUGACUCAGUUACCACAUAACAUAUUUUAGUUUAUUAUAUAUGAAAUAAUGUUUCAACACCCCAACUAUAGUGGUUUCUAUCACUGUGUCAUGAGCUAUGGAACGUAUUUUGUACUAUGUACCGGAAUUAUGACGCAACUUACAUGUUUGCCAUACAUUGUUAAAAGGAUACUUAUUGUAUAUAAUAAAUGGGAUUGAUUGAAACCCUUCAUUACAUUAAAGUUCUUGUUUCUUGACUUCCAGCCAUUGACACUGCUACUUCCACCCGAAUUUAGGCGAUAUCCUAUUGACAUUGCCUUGCUGUUCUAAUUCAGGAUUCAGGACUCUAGCACCUUUAGCAAUUUUCAUACUUUGUUCACGAAAAAUGUUUAGGCACUUAGCCGUUUUCGGCACAGACUUAAAUAUUGUAAAUAAAGUUACAUAUUGCAAAUCGUAUAGCGUAUAAGAGUUUGUACCUAAUUGUAAAUCUUUUUUAUCCCGCUUGCUUUCCCUUUAAGAAAGCCCACUAGAAUACGUUUUGAACGUCAUCUUUUAGUCAUUAGCGUUCUAUAUGGUAGUAUUAUAAGUUGCUUGUAUUUCUGCUUGUAUUUUGUAUCAGUGGCGCUCCUGUUGUCAAAAAAAAAUAUCCGUUAGACCGAGUUGACCGGGCUUUAUUACCAACUCUGCUGCUUGCAUGGUUCGGGCCAAAUGAUUCGCAGUUUAUUACCCGUUCAAGGUGUCACUAAAUAUCAGGAAAUGCGCUGACGAUAUUCGCGAGGUGCCGCUUCGUAAUUCAUAAUCAACACCACUACGUUAUAAUGAUGUUGGAAGCUCUAAUAAAGCCAUUGGUUCCAGCUCUUUCCUCUUCUGAGUCACCUUAACCACAUACGGAAGGUUGCAUACACCCAACUAAUUUUCCACGUAUCCAUUGCGACCAACUCUUUUAAUAUUUCGUUAUUCGCACACAUUCCGAGACGGCGACUCCCGGGCGGAAUUCACUUCAGAGGCAAAUCUUCAUAUGUAAGUAACCCUGGUAACCGCGCCCUAGUUCUAUACUUGUUUGUUCCUGGCUAAGUUUUAUAUGCUAUCGUUGCCAGUAAAAUUUAAUGAUUGUAAUUAAGUAUGAUCGUUUAUCGUUGAUAUAACUGCAGACUCUAUCGAACAAUGUUCCGGUACUUCGGUAAUUGCUACCAGAAAAAGCAUACAAUGGAGGUGUGCGAAAAACCACAAGACGAUCAUGCUGCUUUUUCCUUUGCCUGCUUGUGCUUGGUUAAUGAAACAGCGAUGGUCGAAUAGUUGUUCCAUACUGGCGGUACAGUGUGGUCGAGUGCAAACUUGUUCUUUUAAAAACAAAAUCUCUUCUUAAAUAAUCCAGCCAUGUAAAGCCCGAUCCUGACUGACUCAAUUACUGUAGUGGGUAUACCACAGUGGUGGUUGAUAACAGUAAUAACAAUAAUACCAACUCUAUUUGGAAAUUACUAUAGAAGUAUAAUAAAAUUACCAUAACAAAUGUUGUGUAAUCAUUUGAGACCUCUUCCGUCGCGAAAGUCAUAUAUAAAUACACUAAACUAUUAUUUUAAUUGCAUACACGCAAUUAUAUGCAAACUGAGCAAGCGACGCUAGUUAAUAGCUAUUAGAAGUUUUAGCCUAGUUUAAUGAUAUUACAUAUUUCUUUGGCUACGGAAAGCUUAAUAUCAAAUAUAAGGACACUUUCAACACAAUGUCUUUUACGUGGCCAUUAUUUAGGAUUCUUGGAGCAAUACCAUAGGCUACUAAAACAAUCAAAGAGACGUAUUGUUUUUUUGACAUUUGUAUGAGAUUGAUUGCGUUACGUUGUUUGUAAACACUUUGUAAACACGACACGUCCAACAUUAGGCAAUUCAGUAAGAAACAUGCUACUUUGUAGCUAGAGAUGCUACACAUUUUUUUUUUGCAAUUCGAAGUUAAUUGAUUCGCGCGCAGACUGCACCAAAUCUAGUGGGUUGAGUUAUGUAACCUCACGGAAACAUAAAUCCUCACCGCACGUCGUCAACUUAGCGCCCUCUAGUGAUCAGAAAUAGAAAAGUACGAGAGAUCAUAACAAAAACAAAACAGGCGAGCAGCAGCACUGACACUACCGCCGCUCCCACUACAACGACUACUAUCAGUCGUCAGCACUGGUGGUAGUGCUGCACUAGACAAACAACAGACGAAAGUAAACCUUAUUCGCCACCGUCACUACUUGUGCGGUAGAUAACCAUCGUUGUGGUAUUGGUAGACAUCAACUUGUCGCAUCCUAAACAGGAGGAGAAGUAGCAGUGACUGCAACGAACAUCAUUAAAGCCUUCCGUAGAGCAGUCGAACGUGUUAGCAGGUGGACAAAGCCGGCUUUUUACCAAGACGUCGUCAGCAGAGAAUGUUGCAGCAGUGAGUUGGUCAACUGAACCGAACACACAGAUCAGGUAGGACGAGCCAGUGGUUGACUGAUUGUAGCGCCUGGUGUCGGUGCAGUUGGGGGUCGCUGUGGCAGAAAGAACAAAAGACAAAGGCUCGGCCACCGCCGCCGCGAUCGUCGUCGCCAUCCUGCAAACUUCUCAUCAUAAUCACAGUACGAAUUCUACUGCUAACAAUACUGUCUCAGAGCUUAUUGGACGUAUUAGAGUUGAAUUGUGGCCAUGGUGUGGUGCUCAGACACCGGUAAUACGAGUCUGUGCUCUGCGCAGGGUGUCCUUUAAUGUGGCCUCAUUAUUUGUGACUAGUGUUGAAGUCAAUCGACGAGCCGUCUGCUCAUUUAGUAGUUACCGGUGCAACUGACGCUGUCAAUAACGGUAACCAUCCGGUGCAAUCUCAACUAUUUAUAUGGGCGUAAAUGUACGCAUAUUCAGGAACUGAAUCAAAAGGAAAGAAAAAUAUACAUUGCCACUAAGUGCAAGCGAAAACAAACUUUUCGUGGCUCUCGGUGGAGGUAAUAAUAAUCGUCAAAAUGUCGAGCAGCACCGCACAAGUAGCACAGCUUAGCCCCACGCAACAGGUGGCCCUGGGUCUUCUGAAAGGGGUGAAUAUGAUCUAUGAUGUGGUCACGUUACCACUUUACACCGCAAUACAGGCUCCCUGGAAGCAUUGGCAAGAUAGCCGACAGAUUUUUGCCCAGCCGACUAUACCAGAAAACCCUCAUUCACCGUGGGUACGCAAACAAGUUCAUUCUUUGGGCAAGCUUAAGGACAUUGAGACUGUCGACCAGCUCUUCAGAGUGGCCAUUCGUGAAUUUCCGGACCACCCGGCGAUGGGAACUCGCGAAAUUUUCGGGGAGGAAGAAGAGAAACAGAAGGACGGAAAGGUGUUUAAAAAGUUGAUUCUCGGCGAAUACAAAUGGAUUACAUAUAAGGAAAUGGACAAAAAAAUUGAGUUAAUAGGCCGAGGUCUAAUGUCGCUUGGAAUUCGCCCGCGACAGAACAUCGUAAUCCUUGCGGAGACGCGUCAGGAAUGGAUGCUAACUGCACAAGCCUGUCUUCGUCUUAAUAUUCCUGUGGUUACACUAUAUGCUACACUUGGAGAGGAAGGCAUCCUACAUGGAAUAAAUGAGACGGAAGCAACGUUCUUGGUUACGUCGCAGGAUCUUCUAGAGAAGAUUGGCAAACUAAUGCCGCGUAUGCCGCUCCUCGAGACCGUCAUCUACAUGGAGAAUCCGAUCGUAAAGGUGAAACCAAAUCCGAUGGAAAAGAUUAAAUUGUACCCGUUUUCCAAACUCGAGAUGCUUGGGCAGUCAGCCUCUGGAGAUCUGAAAGGCGAGGUCCCGACAGCAGAUGACAUCGGCAUUAUUAUGUACACAUCAGGCUCGACCGGAGUUCCCAAAGGAGUAAUGAUUACUCAAGGAAACAUCGUCGCAACAACAAAAGGCUUUUAUCCAGUUGUUUCUUUUGUGUGUCCAGAGGAUACCUACAUUGCUUACUUGCCCCUGGCCCAUGUGCUAGAGCUGGCGUGUGAAUCUCUUUCAUUCGCAUUAGGAGCCCGCAUCGGCUAUUCUUCGCCGUUAACCCUCACCGACAAAUCAACUGGAAUAAAAACUGGUGGCAAGGGCGACGCUACUUUGCUCAAGCCAACCAUUAUGGUCGCCGUGCCGCUUAUCCUCGACAGGGUUCGCAAAAGCAUUACAGAGGUUGCUGAAAGCAAAGGUAUCUUUGCUAAGAACUUCUUCCACCAUGUGAUUGGCUAUAAAACGCUGUGGCAGAAAUUCGGAUACGGAACUCCUAUUUUAGAUAAGCUGGUGUUUUCGAAAAUGAAAGCACUCCUUGGCGGAGCACUGAAGGUGAUUCCCUGUGGAUCUGCACCUCUUUCAUCAGACACUCAUGAAUUCAUCAAAGCAGCCCUCAGUUGCGAUAUCGUGCAAGGUUAUGGCCUGACCGAGACUGCGGCUGGAGCUACCAUAAUGGAACGAAAUGAUAAAAGCUAUGGUCGAGUCGGCGCUCCAAUAACCGGCAACUACAUCAAAUUAGUCGACUGGGCUGAGGCAGGUUACCAUGCCAUCGAUAAACCUAAUCCCCGAGGAGAGAUUGUGGUCGGCGGAAUAUCAGUCACUAAGGGGUAUUAUAAAAAUGAGGCGUUAACGCAGGAAUGUUUCCGUGAGGAAGGUGGAAUCAGGUGGUUUUACACCGGAGAUAUCGGAGAAAUGUUUCCAGAUGGAACAAUUAAAAUCAUAGAUCGCAAGAAGGAUCUUGUUAAGCUACAGUUUGGUGAAUAUAUCUCGCUUGGAAAGAUCGAGACGGAAUUAAAGACAUGUCCUUUGGUGGAAAAUAUCUGUGUAUACGCUAGUUCAUUUCACACGUUCUUGGUCGCCUUAAUAGCACCGAAUCAAAAGGCCAUUCAGGCUCUCGCCGUCACACUCAACAAAGAUACUUCGGAUUUCCGGCGACUCUAUCGAGACCCAGAUAUUGUGAGAGCUGUAAUUCAACAAUUAGCCGAACAUGGAAAAAAGGCCAACCUUAGCAAAACAGAGAUUCCCACCAAGAUUAAACUGUGCACAGAAGAGUGGCUGCCCGACACAGGACUGGUGACCGCGGCGUUUAAGAUCCGUCGCAAGCAACUCCAGCAGUUCUAUCAGGCAGACAUUGACGACAUGUACUCCCCCACUGGCAACGCCAAGAACACUUGGGGACUCAAGUUCUCGUACCCAUCAUAGAUCCAGAGUCAGUUCAGUCAAGCUUCCGUCCUCACUUCUUUUCCCCUGGACGUGAAUCAGACAACCACAUUCAAUGUCGAAGGAAAAAGCGACCAACCAACAAAACAGCUCUGCAUACAGCACGAUGUGUGUUUCUGUAUGAAGAAUGCGUGGUAGCGAUGACGUUGCCGUUGACAUUUCGGUGGACAUUAUACAUGAUCAAGAUAAAUAAGAUAGCAUUAUCUGAACGAUUUUUCACCAGUAAACUUUAAAAAGAAAAGGAAUGAGAGAAGAAGGCGAUAGGCGCAUACAGUAACAGACCAUGCUGCAACCAUGAAGACUAUUUGUAUGGAUUUAAGUGGGUGUCUGUGUGUGCAUGUCCUGAUUCGUGGCGGAUCGUCGAGUGUUCUUAUUGGAUCUACUUGCGUGUUAUUUAGUAUAUUGAUUGUAGAGCGGGUAAGCACAAAUAAAGACAGAUGAUUACAUGUUAAGUGCAUACAGUUUCCGCGGAAAUUGUCGUCGAAAACAUUUCUUAGUCAGGUACACUAACACCACACGUGGUGCGAUCUAUAUAUCAAUAUGCGAAUUAGCUAAACACUGGAAUACUGUAUAUUUCUCUUAUGUUCCCUUCAUAUAUUUGGCUAUUGUCGUUCUUACGGAAAAUAGAAACGUGUAUGAAAAUGUACACAGAGUAGGUACUUCUGUGCAGGGAUUGAUGAUGAACGAAUCUUCGAGACAACGAGAUAUAUUGAAAUUAAUAUGAUCAGAUGAGCGUUAUUAUUGUCGUCUUAUAUCAGAAAGCGGAAAGGCGGGGGAUUGGAAAAGAGUAAGAGUGCAGAAAGUUUUAUAUUUGAUUAUAUAAUGAUGGCAAUUAUUCUAUAUCGAUCUAUUUUUUGUUUGUUUUCUUGUAAGUAUUUUUUGUUGCUUCUCUCCCCUUCCGCUGUUAGCAAAACAAGAUAGUAACACUUAACUCAACUUCGUAACAAAUACAGGAAAGAUAGGUCUUGUAAAAUCGGAGUAUUACGUCUGGUUAAUUAAGGUAGGAAGUGCUAAGCUGAUGGAUAACAGGAAAAGCGUGAGUGCUGUGCAAGUUUCGUAUUCGUCGAUAACUAUCAACUAACUUUGAUCGGUUCGACUAAGUAGUAGCCAAUACAUCUAAAUGAAAAAAAUUACGAGGAUCAGUAGAUAAAUAGAUUGCAUCAAUUGUUGGAAUCUAUAGAUAUAUAUAUAUAUAUAUAUUCUUACACCUUAUCCUCAAGACCUGUGCAGAUGCAUAUAUAUAUAUAUUGCAUGUGCGCGUUCGUACAUUAUCUUAUUAUUACUAUUAUAUAGUACACAGAACAUAUAUGAAGUAUUACAGGAGUUGUUGACUAACGAGUGACAUAUUUUUAGGCACUUAAUAGUAACCAAUAUUAAUUAAGUUGAUCUUGUAAGUGUAAGUAAGGUUUGCGACUCUUGCAUGUUAAUUUAUGGGUUAGUUGAUGCAGCCUUCAUAUUAACAGUUUUAUACGUGAGAAUGGGAUCGAUUAUUCAGUAAGUGGAAUAUAACAGCAAUGCACGAUAAUUACUAUGCACGCUAAUAAUGGAGGUAAAACUUGGCUGGUUACUACAUUAUUUCCCAUCCUAUUUAAAAUCGAAGGGAAAAUAAAACAAUAAGAACAACGAUAUUGACAAUAAAUGAAAACAAUUUCCUGUCUAUAAUAAUUUAAUGAAUUCAGUCAUGGAAGAGAGGGAAUUCCAGUAAAAUGAGACAUAAAACCAAAAAGAAUAUAAUAGGCUAUCAUCAUCUGUGAAAGCAUAGUGGAUAGCACUAAUUUUCUUUGGUAGGUAAUCGUUAAUGGUUUCAAUAUAAUCAACAGAAGUACUUAUGGGUAACGAUAGCUUUCAUAAUAUAAAGUGUUAAUUCAUCUUUUUAUGAUUUUUUACGUGGCAUAUACGUUUGCUUUUUUUUCUGAUACUACAAUAAUUGUAUCAUCUAAAGGCAGAACGGGGCCAAUAGACGUUAGUUUAGUGAUUCUAGUAGUACAGUAACAAGUAGGCAAUAUUUUAGUACUUGUUGCAGAUGUUUUAUUUUCUUGGUCAAAGGCUUAUUUUUUCCUCGUUUGAUCUGUGUGCACCGAAAUUGUAGGAAAGCCUAGUUUACGGUGAUGCUUGAUUCAGCAGAAAUGUCGAACUAAAUGCAUAAUGGAAAAAGACAAACCAUGUUGCAACUGUAUAAUGGGUAUAACGUAAUAAAAAGCAGGCGUCAGAUAGACCCAGAAACCAACAUGGUGACCCAAGUCAUUGCAUGAACUGGUAAUAGCCAGCCUGGUGCUAAUUUGUGUAUGUGAAUGAAAAGAGUAUUACUGAAUAUUGCGAAAUAUUCCAGCCUUAAAUUUAUCCUGUUGGCCAUCAGUCGUGAUAGUUGGAUAGGUGGUACGGAUAUUCAGUAUAACAUAAAUUCGUUGCGAUGUGCGGUGAAACAAUUUUAUCCAUUCAAGCACCCCUCAAAAGCCCUCUCUCCCAUUUGUUAAAUACACAAGUGUGGCAAACCCUUUUUCCCAGUUUGUAAAACCUGUCAACAUGUAUGAACGACUGCAGAAGCUUGAAUCGACUGUUAAAUUUUUGACAUUGAUUAUUUUUACCUUAUUUAUUCUUAUCAUCUUGAAUUGAGGCUGUUUUUGUUAUUUAAUUCAUAGUUGGAUGCAUCUAUGUGAUUUGACUCUGAACUCACAAUAAUCCACAUAAGAGAUUAAAAAGGUUAUAUAGAGAUGACUUUCACUUAUAUUGAUAGCUCAUAGAGCAAUUAUCGCGCUAAAAUCGACCCUUUCGAUGCACUCAAUAACAUAUGUGCCUUUGUCAAAUUUAUUUCUCAAUACGAUGUUUAUCAAAAACAAAAAAAGCAACUCGAAAUCAACGUCGAAUUCAGACAAUUCGAGGAGUAAUUCCAGUAUUUAUAUAACUCGUAUAGGCGAAAAAGGCUACGGUCUGUACCAUACUCGAAUUCAAUCAACCUAUAUUUAUAUAAGGUCUACCCGUUUGCAGGAAGACAGUACAAUUAUUUUUAUUUAUUUAUAUAUUACACUAUGGGAUCCAUAUUAUAUCCAAUCUAUAUAUAUCUACGCUAUGGGAUAGGAGAAAUUGCAAGUUUUACCACCUUAGCUUUUCGUUUUUUACGUUUCAUGACUGUACCGCUAACCAUCGCUUCAAAGGCUUGGCUCCCAACGCAAAACAAAGUGUGCAAAGCGUCUGGAUCACCAACAUAAGUUUAGCUGACAAACACGUUACCCACAGCGCUAUCACCGAAACAAGUUUAAAAUCAAACGGAGAAGUCCUUUUGUUAUGACUAGAGCUGAUACAGAUAAAUAUACCUGCUGUUGUCAAUGAUUGCCACUUUUAUAGAUGAUAAACUGAGGUGUCAGUAGCAUUAUACCACACUACAAACAGUAGCAGCAAGGGGAUCGGUAGCAAUAGUUGGCAACUAUCGUUAUGAUGAUACUGAGAAAAAUGAAAAUAAUAUAAAUUAUUGUGUACAAUAAUAGUUAUCUUCAUAAUAGUUAAACAGGAACGGAGA
RNA transcript from Varroa destructor (honeybee mite), 9673 nucleotides. It is a transcript of the gene named long-chain-fatty-acid--CoA ligase 4-like, with no coding region annotated. The record is from RefSeq and is a predicted model, not a curated record. Lineage: Eukaryota; Metazoa; Arthropoda; Arachnida; Mesostigmata; Varroidae.